AUUGAACGCUGGCGGCAUGCCUUACACAUGCAAGUCGAACGGCAGCACGGGAGCAAUCCUGGUGGCGAGUGGCGAACGGGUGAGUAAUAUAUCGGAACGUGCCCAGUCGUGGGGAUAACGUAGCGAAAGCUACGCUAAUACCGCAUACGAUCUAUGGAUGAAAGCGGGGGAUCGCAAGACCUCGCGCGAUUGGAGCGGCCGAUAUCAGAUUAGGUAGUUGGUGAGGUAAAGGCUCGCCAAGCCGACGAUCUGUAGCUGGUCUGAGAGGACGACCAGCCACACUGGGACUGAGACACGGCCCAGACUCCUAC
RNAcentral lists this ribosomal RNA (311 nucleotides) under uncultured bacterium. RNAcentral's name for it is "bacterial SSU rRNA". It matches the Rfam family "Bacterial small subunit ribosomal RNA", at positions 30 to 342 of the family's 1533-position model. The record is from RNAcentral.